Molecule: ribosomal RNA, 449 nt
Filed under: uncultured organism
Description: partial 16S ribosomal RNA
Rfam family: Bacterial small subunit ribosomal RNA
Source: RNAcentral
ACUCCUGCGGGAGGCAGCAGUGGGGAAUAUUGGACAAUGGGCGCAAGCCUGAUCCAGCCAUGCCGCGUGAGUGAUGAAGGCCCUAGGGUUGUAAAGCUCUUUCACCGGUGAAGAUAAUGACGGUAACCGGAGAAGAAGCCCCGGCUAACUUCGUGCCAGCAGCCGCGGUAAUACGAAGGGGGCUAGCGUUGUUCGGAUUUACUGGGCGUAAAGCGCACGUAGGCGGACUAUUAAGUCAGGGGUGAAAUCCCGGGGCUCAACCCCGGAACUGCCUUUGAUACUGGUAGUCUUGAGUUCGAGAGAGGUGAGUGGAAUUCCGAGUGUAGAGGUGAAAUUCGUAGAUAUUCGGAGGAACACCAGUGGCGAAGGCGGCUCACUGGCUCGAUACUGACGCUGAGGUGCGAAAGCGUGGGGAGCAAACAGGAUUAGAAACCCGUGUAGUCCCAUGA